This 78-nucleotide transfer RNA is filed under the name Oligoflexia bacterium. RNAcentral's name for it is "tRNA-Glu". It matches the Rfam family "tRNA". From Rfam's summary of the family: Transfer RNA (tRNA) molecules are approximately 80 nucleotides in length. Their secondary structure includes four short double-helical elements and three loops (D, anti-codon, and T loops). The record is from RNAcentral. Lineage: Bacteria; Pseudomonadati; Bdellovibrionota; Oligoflexia.
GCUCCCAUCGUCUAGCCCGGUCUAGGACAUCGCCUUUUCACGGCGGUAACUGGGGUUCGAAUCCCCAUGGGAGUGCCA